CUUUCGGAGUGAUUCGCGCGCUUUGAGAUCCCAUCUCGGAGCAAUCCCGAACACGAUGACAGCAUCCGGCAUUCGCGGAUGACGUCAUACGACGGGGCAGCGGAGGUGGUGGCGGCAGCGAUAAUCGCAUACGAUGACGUCGGCAAUGAUCGCGAAUCGGCAACAGCAGCAAGAGGAGGAAGGAGCCCGACAGCCCGAGAGCCUCAGCCGAGCCGACAGGAGCCGACGGCGCCCCGUUUCGUCGUGGGGCCAGUUCCUUCCAGUUCGCCGUGUCGUCGACUUCUUUCGAGUUCUCCGGUCGAUUCGUUUCUUGUGAUUCCGAGUCGAGCAGAACGCUACCGGUCGUCGAGCCGCGCCGGCCAGACACCGUCGACCAUAUGACAGUGACCUACUUAUUGAUUCCGGUAUGCCUUACGGUUCGCGAUACUAGUAAUCCCGAGGAUCGACGUCGACAAAUCGAACCAAUCGAAUCGGGCGGCUCAGUGGAAUAAUAAUAAUAAUAAUAAAAUAAUAACAAAUAACUCUCGAACGGAAUUAUAGAAGGUGGUUGCGUUUAACGAUAAAUGUGAUUGAUUUUCGAUACUGGUACCAUACUCUCUCAGUACCGUUGAUAAUACAUUUAACGGUGAACUCUUAGGCGAUUGUUUAAUCAAGUGCAAUCUUAAAUCAGUUAUUAAAUAAAUGGAACAAACGAAGUAAAUCUAAUUAAAUUAGCAAAUGGAAUAACAGAAAAGCAGUGGAGUAGAACAAACUCAAUGUUAGAAUAUCCUGCCGCAACUAAUGAAGGAUCAGGACAAAGUUCAUUUGUGUAUCUCAUUCUUUCUCUCUGUGAAGAAUGACUCGCGAACUGGAGUUCAUCGACGGAAAUACAUCGCGCGAGUCAGAACGCCUUCCGACGCCUUCUCGCCUAAAAAAAAUGAAAGACACGCGAUGUGCUGCUCAUUCAAUCACAAUGAAUCGUAAGACUGCUCGAUCGCGAAUGCUCGGGUGUGCAUGGUGACAUCACCUGAUGGGUUACACCUGUGCAGUAUAGCGACCACUGUGCAUUCCACAGAAUCCUGAACCACGAUAACCCGCAUAUUUUCAAUUGAAAGUCCACCAAGAAUGUACGCAAUUCCUUAAUAGGAAAUGAGAGGUUGAUCAAUAGAAUAUAUCUACAAAAAAGUGCGAUCUCUUGAUUAUAUUUUUGUCAUGUAUGAAUCAAAAUGUUAUUACUAUCUUUCUCUUUCUUUUCUUCUCUCUAAGACUUGAAGAAUUUAAGUUUAUUUCACGAUAAACGCUGAGAAUAAUACAUAAUUUGAGAAAAAAUUUCUAAUUUGAUAAAAAUAAAUUUCAUUUUGAAUCUGCAUCUAAUCUUUUAAACUGUAACUUUUUUCAAAUUUAUUUUUAGUUUUUAUUUUCUUUCAAAAAAGAGAAAAAUGAGAGAGAAAGAGAGAGAAUUAAUGUUUUAUAAUUUAUCUAUCCAUCUCACAUUACUUUCUGCAGAUAGCUAGGCUACAAUUAGAAUUAGAAACUCAAUACCGGUUCA
Molecule: long non-coding RNA, 1528 nt
Organism: Linepithema humile (Argentine ant)
Lineage: Eukaryota; Metazoa; Arthropoda; Insecta; Hymenoptera; Formicidae
Source: RefSeq, a predicted model, not a curated record